RNAcentral lists this long non-coding RNA (1284 nucleotides) under Setaria viridis. RNAcentral's name for it is "long non-coding RNA (SVIR_LNC008490)". The record is from RNAcentral. Lineage: Eukaryota; Viridiplantae; Streptophyta; Magnoliopsida; Poales; Poaceae.
AUGCAAGAUGCAACACGACGACGAAACGAAGCGCGAUGGUGGAUAGUAGGUGUGGGUACCUCACGGUCGGGGGACACUGGGCCGUCGUCGCUUCCUCCCGGCACGGCACCCGCAGCGGCCACCACCACCGCCAACCGACGACUCUUGGUCUUGGAGGCCAGGAAGGUCGUGGGGAUCCCCAGCGCUAGCGUGUUGCCAUGACGAGGCGGUGCUCCGGUAGAGAUGAGGUCGUAGCAGGUGAAGAAACCGGCCGGGGACGACACGACGUCGGGCUGAAACUCAGAGAAACCAGUUGUUUGAUUAGUCCUUUGAAACUAGAACGAAAAACAGACAGUUGAACCCGAAUAUGGAUGGAAAAAGAGAAACAGCAAAAAGAACAUAUACCGCGUCAGGAUUUUGUUCAGAAAUCGUUCUUGUGAGAAAAGAUGUAAUCUUUACGCAAUCAGGGUGGGGUUGGCCACGAACGCAAUUGGGCGCUGCGAAACCUUGAAUAUCUCCAUCUCCAAUCGGAACGCCGACACUGGCCUGAAAAUCAGAGCACCUAGUUGUUUGGUUAGUAGUUUCAAACUAGAACGGAGUACCGACAGCUGAACCUGAACAUAGAUGGGAAAUAAGAAAAACAGCAAACGAACAUAAUCUAGGCCAAGAAACAAUGAGAUUCUUCCUCAAGAAAAAGAUGCAAUCUUUAUCCAGUACUUGCAUAGUUGUGUUCAAAAUCAUAGGUAAACGCGAAAGAGUUUGAUUAGUUGUUUCAGACAAGAACAAACGUCCACGGGUUAAUUUUUAUGAACAGCUAGGUACUUGCAGUCUGUCCAAAUUUCAAAAUCAGAUAGCUGGCAUACUGAUGAAAGUGGGAGUAAACAACAGUCUCAUAAACUGGGCUAAGAUCUGUUUAGCACACAAUUGAGACAAGAUCCAAAACGAUGGAGAAAACAAACUGGGCCAAAAUUUGGCCCAUUGAGGGGGCCUCUCCACCGAUUUGCACUAGGCUGCUAGAUGAACGAAACUCUCAACUUUAGAUUGGCACAACACCACAUAACCAAGUAAGAAUGCAAGAUGCAACACGGCGACGAAACGAAGCGCGAUGGUGGAUAGUAGGUGUGGGUACCUCACGGUCGGGGGACACUGGGCCAUCGUCGCUUCCUCCCGGCACGGCACCCGCAGCGGCCACCACCACCGCCAACCGACGACUCUUGGUCUUGGAGGCCAGGAAGGUCGUGGGGAUCCCCAGCGCCAGCGUGUUGCCAUGACGAGGCGGUGCUCCGGUAGAGAUGAGGCCGUAGC